AGACCUAUGAAGGUCGAAGGGGAAGAAAAGCUGUAUCGAUUGUUGAGAUCUGGCGACUUGUUUAAAUUUCAUCAGCCUCACUUCUAUGAACUCUCAGGACAGCUCACAGUAUGGCAGCUGACAUUCUACAGAGUGAGCAGGUGAAGGAAAGAAAGAAAAGAGCUGAUUACCAACUCCUACCACUGUUAACCCUCAUCCAGGAACAAGCUUAUGUCUUUAACAUUCUGAGUGGGCUUCAGCAUCCUUGCAUAUGUUCAAUUCUUAAAAACCUGUUGAAAUAAAAGAUCAGGAGACAUAGGAAGGAUGCCAGAAGAGAGCGUGGCCUCACGUGUACCAGCUCUCUGCUCUCCUUUGCCUUGGGACGUUCCAUCCCUGGAAGUUUCCCUGCCCACAUCUUUGUAGAGAGUCCAUUCUCCAAGCUUCAGUGUGUCAUCUGUGAGGACCGUGACCCACCUGGUACAUCGCCUCAGGGCAUUCAUUUCAGGCUCCUUCUAAAUGGCCAAGGUAUUAUGGUUGACCCUAAAGAAGCAUCAGCUUGGCUUUGCACCAAAGAAGUUUUUAGUCAAGUUGGAGAGAGAUCACUACUCAAAGAACGCAAGAGACUAAUGGAAGACAGAAUAUAUUGGCAGCAGACUAAAAGGCAGAAUGGUCACACUUCAAAAUGUUUGGUACAAGCUAUGGUGAUGUUAUUGAUCUUCUGAUUUGAUGUUCCUGUGAAGGUUCUAUGACCUAUUUUGAUAUGUAGACAGUGGUAAAAUGCUCAAAGCUCUUUGCUACGAUAUGUAAUAACAAAGGGAACAGUAAAAAAUAUUCUGUUUAAAUAAGCCAGAUCACUUUUACAUGUGAUGGCCAAGCCAUGCAGGGGAGGAGGUGCUGAGCCUGGUUCUGUUAGUAACUGAGUGGUAGCUGAAGAAGACAAAUCUAACCAGGCAUGGCAAGUCCGUGGAUGCCAUGAGAGCCUGUGCAUUUAGAACUAGGGCACACUAACAGAGAUCAAACUAAGUUUUUCCACUAACAUCAGACCUUUGCAAUUUAAUGAUUAUAAAACUUUCCUAACAUUUGCAAGUUUCUAAACAUUUAUUUUCUUUUAUUCUGUGCAAUUCCUAUUACCAUUGAAAUUAUUUAGGUCACAUAUUUUUGUGUUAUUUAAGUAACACUCAAAGACAAAACCAAGAAAUUCUUUUUCUACUUUUAACCAUCCUGAUUGGAUAGUUUAUAUUUAUAUCAAGUUCUAAUCUCCUAAAAUUUUUAGUGUGUUUAAUAAUGAAUCUUUGAAGAAUAUGAUACACUUGUGUAAUAGCUUUUUCAUAUAAUAAAAUUUUCCAAAGUAAAUAACCUGACAAAUUAAAAAAAACUCAUACAUUAAAUGUAAAGUACUAUUUUGUUAUAAUCAUAGAAUUUAAUAAAUUAAAAGGAUUUUAGAG
Homo sapiens (human) is the source of this 1424-nucleotide long non-coding RNA. Ensembl annotates it as testis expressed 41. Its record names the gene TEX41. Lineage: Eukaryota; Metazoa; Chordata; Mammalia; Primates; Hominidae. The record is from Ensembl.